GGUCUUUUAGUUUAUUAUGAAUAUUUUGUUUACAACAAUAAGGAAUUAUUAGACUU
RNAcentral lists this transfer RNA (56 nucleotides) under Cercopithifilaria johnstoni. The record is from RNAcentral. Lineage: Eukaryota; Metazoa; Nematoda; Chromadorea; Rhabditida; Onchocercidae.